Molecule: long non-coding RNA, 359 nt
Organism: Nerophis lumbriciformis (worm pipefish)
Lineage: Eukaryota; Metazoa; Chordata; Actinopteri; Syngnathiformes; Syngnathidae
Source: RefSeq, a predicted model, not a curated record
GGUAGAAGGAACUCGCCGAGCAUCAAAGACCCUCAAGCAGCCCCUCGCCUUUGGUGUCACAAGUGUGCCUGAAGGCCAAAUGCUUGCUGGAUGAUAAGAAGGAGAAGAAGUGCUGGAAGAUCAAAAUUAGCAGAGCAGGAAAGAUCGGGGGGCGUCAAUACCCCGCCACUCCCUCCCCCCCUUUCUUCUCAUGUGGUGCCGGGUGGAGGCGGCGAGCUCAGAGCCUCGCCUUGCAUGUGACGAGGCUCCAGUGGCCCAUUAAGGGCUUCCUGCAGACUAAUUGGUUGGCGAAGAGUCAGUCCAGUCCAAACUCCUUCCAUUGCGUUUCCCACAUGGUUACCUGUGUUUCAGGUAGGUAU